RNAcentral lists this transfer RNA (78 nucleotides) under Desulfurococcales archaeon. RNAcentral's name for it is "tRNA-Val". It matches the Rfam family "tRNA". Rfam says of the family: Transfer RNA (tRNA) molecules are approximately 80 nucleotides in length. Their secondary structure includes four short double-helical elements and three loops (D, anti-codon, and T loops). Further hydrogen bonds mediate the characteristic L-shaped molecular structure. tRNAs have two regions of fundamental functional importance: the anti-codon, which is responsible for specific mRNA codon recognition, and the 3' end, to which the tRNAs corresponding amino acid is attached (by aminoacyl-tRNA synthetases). tRNAs cope with the degeneracy of the genetic code in two manners: having more than one tRNA (with a specific anti-codon) for a particular amino acid; and 'wobble' base-pairing, i.e. permitting non-standard base-pairing at the 3rd anti-codon position. The record is from RNAcentral. Lineage: Archaea; Thermoproteati; Thermoproteota; Thermoprotei; Desulfurococcales.
GGGCCCGUCGUCUAGCCAGGUUAGGACGCCGCCCUCACACGGCGGAGGUCCGGGGUUCAAAUCCCCGCGGGCCCACCA